UCCUACGGGGGGCAGCAGUGGGGGAUAUUGCACAAUGGGGGGAACCCUGAUGCAGCGACGCCGCGUGGGUGAAGGAGCGUUUCGGCGCGUAAAGCCCUAUCGGCAGGGAAGAGGGAGGACGGUACCUGACUAAGAAGCCCCGGCUAACUACGUGCCAGCAGCCGCGGUAAUACGUAGGGGGCAAGCGUUAUCCGGAUUUACUGGGUGUAAAGGGGGCGCAGACGGCAGCGCAAGCCAGG
RNAcentral lists this ribosomal RNA (239 nucleotides) under uncultured bacterium. RNAcentral describes it as "partial 16S ribosomal RNA". It matches the Rfam family "Bacterial small subunit ribosomal RNA", at positions 337 to 592 of the family's 1533-position model. The record is from RNAcentral.